Molecule: ribosomal RNA, 301 nt
Filed under: uncultured bacterium
Lineage: Bacteria
Description: partial 16S ribosomal RNA
Rfam family: Bacterial small subunit ribosomal RNA
Source: RNAcentral
CAGCAGCCACGGUAAUACGAAGGGUGCAAGCGUUACUCGGAAUUACUGGGCGUAAAGCGUGCGUAGGUGGUGGUUUAAGUCCGUUGUGAAAGCCCUGGGCUCAACCUGGGAAUUGCAGUGGAUACUGGGUCACUAGAGUGUGGUAGAGGAUAGUGGAAUUUCCGGUGUAGCAGUGAAAUGCGUAGAUAUAGGAAGGAACACCAGUGGCGAAGGCGACUACCUGGACUGAUACUGACACUGAGGUGCGAAAGCGUGGGGAGCAAACAGGAUUAGAUACCCUGUAGUCCCUGUCUCUUAUACA